GACGAACGCUGGCGGCGUGCUUAACACAUGCAAGUCGAACGGAAAGGCCCUGCUUUUGUGGGGUGCUCGAGUGGCGAACGGGUGAGUAACACGUGAGUAACCUGCCCUUGACUUUGGGAUAACUUCAGGAAACUGGGGCUAAUACCGGAUAGGAGCUCCUGCUGCAUGGUGGGGGUUGGAUAGUUUCGGCGGUUGGGGAUGGACUCGCGGCUUAUCAGCUUGUUGGUUGGGUAGUGGCUUACCCAGGCUUUGACGGGUAGCCGGCCUGAGAGGGUGACCGGCCACAUUGGGACUGAGAGACGGCCCAGACUCCUACGGGAGGCAGCAGUGGGGAAUAUUGCACAAUGGGCGGAAGCCUGAUGCAGCAACGCCGCGUGCGGGAUGACGGCCUUCGGGUUGUAAACCGCUUUCGCCUGUGACGAAGCGUGAGUGACGGUAAUGGGUAAAGAAGCACCGGCUAACUACGUG
Molecule: ribosomal RNA, 468 nt
Filed under: uncultured bacterium
Lineage: Bacteria
Description: partial 16S ribosomal RNA
Rfam family: Bacterial small subunit ribosomal RNA
Source: RNAcentral